UAAUACACCCCCUCUGCCGUUUGACAGAUAAGCUGUCUCUUUUGUCUCUUUCUCUUCAUUUCUCUAAGCCAAGAACUGAGUGAGAAUCCCCUAUAUUACUUACUUUUAUUCAUUUACACACAAAUCCUCAUCAUUUUUCAUCUUCAUUUGCUCUCAUUAUCAGUUUUGCAAAUGGGUUCAAGAGCUCGAAGGAAGCAAAGAUGGUGUACUCAACCAUUGACGCCACUCAUGGAAGGUCCAGACCCUGAUAUGCAAGAAGAAGGUAACAAGAAGGAGAGUUCAUGGGAAAUAAUUCGUGAAUGGUUUCGAAUGCAAAAGGGUUUCUCCGUUAACCAUUUUUCAUCAUCAGUAACACCAUAUGGGAGCAUUCCAGCCAAUAAAAAGCAAGAUUUGAGGCUUUUGCUUGGAGUCCUUGGCUGCCCACUAGCUCCGAUCCCUCUAGUCAGUGACCCCAUUCACCACCUUCACAUUAAGGACAUCCCCAUGGAAAAUUCAAUCGCACAUUAUAUCAUUCAACAGUACUUGGCGGCCACAGGAUGUUUAAAGAGACAAAAAUGCGUAAAGAACAUGUAUGCGACAGGGAGUGUGAAGAUGAUACGUUGCGAGACAGAGAUUUUAUCAGGAAAGAAUGUGAAGAGCUUAGGGACAAGAAGCGGAGAAAAUGGGUGUUUUGUUCUUUGGCAAAUGAUGCCGGGAAUGUGGUCUCUUGAAUUGGUUGUUGGAGGAAAUAAGGUUAUCGCCGGCAGCGAUGGAAAGACCGUCUGGCGCCACACUCCUUGGCUUGGUACUCACGCAGCAAAGGGACCUCAACGCCCUUUACGUCGCAUAAUCCAGGGCCUAGAUCCAAAGAGCACAGCCAGCUUAUUUGCAAAAGCACAAUGCUUAGGAGAGAAACGAAUAGGUGAAGAUGAUUGCUUUGUAUUAAAAGUAGCAGCAGAUAAAGCAGCUGUAAUGGAAAGAAGUGAAGGAGCAGCAGAAGUACUUAGGCAUGUACUGUAUGGUUAUUUUUGCCAGAAAAGUGGACUCCUAAUAUACCUAGAGGACUCUCAUCUCACCAGGGUACAAACCCCAGAAAAUGAUACCAUCUACUGGGAAACUACAAUAGGAAGUAGCAUUGCAGAUUACAGAGAUGUUGAUGGAGUUCUCAUUGCUCAUCAAGGCCGAUCAAUCGCUACGGUUUUUCGAUUCGAAGAAGAAUCUGUGCAGCAUAGUAGAACUAGAAUGGAAGAAAUCUGGAUGAUUGAUGAUGUUGUGUUUAAUGUUCCUGGACUUUCCUUAGACUCUUUCAUCCCUCCUGCUGAUAUCUUUGACGCUAAUUCUCCUAUUAAUUAACUCAUCACAUUAAUUAAUUCUCUCUUUUCUUCUAAUACACUAUAAUUGGUGGGGUUUUGGUGUAUUUAAUUUCAUCUGUAGUAUGUAGCCAGCAAGUCAUCAAAAAUCAAAAUGUCCAAUUCAAACUUGAGAUGGAGUAAGGC
RNAcentral lists this unclassified non-coding RNA (1475 nucleotides) under Hevea brasiliensis (rubber tree). The record is from RNAcentral. Lineage: Eukaryota; Viridiplantae; Streptophyta; Magnoliopsida; Malpighiales; Euphorbiaceae.